RNAcentral lists this unclassified non-coding RNA (345 nucleotides) under soil metagenome. RNAcentral describes it as "partial contains 5.8S ribosomal RNA, internal transcribed spacer 2, and large subunit ribosomal RNA". The stretch from base 1 to 120 matches the Rfam family "5.8S ribosomal RNA", at positions 35 to 154 of the family's 154-position model. The record is from RNAcentral.
GAUGAAGAACGUAGCGAAAUGCGAUAAGUAAUGUGAAUUGCAGAAUUCAGUGAAUCAUCGAGUCUUUGAACGCACAUUGCGCCCCCUGGUAUUCCGGGGGGCAUGCCUGUCCGAGCGUCAUUGCUGCCCUCAAGCACGGCUUGUGUGUUGGGCCUCCGUCCUCCUCCCGGGGGACGGGCCCGAAAGGCAGCGGCGGCACCGCGUCCGGUCCUCGAGCGUAUGGGGCUUCGUCACCCGCUCUUGUAGGCCCGGCCGGCGCUUGCCGACACAUCAAUCUUUUUUCCAGGUUGACCUCGGAUCAGGUAGGGAUACCCGCAGAACUUAAGCAUAUCAAUAAGCGGAGGA